GCAGUCGAGGGGCAGCAUUACCUUCGGGUAGAUGGCGACCGGCGCACGGGUGAGUAACGCGUAUGCAACCUGCCUUGUACAGGGGGAUAGCCCGAAGAAAUUCGGAUUAAUACCCCAUGGUUCUUUAGUGUCGCAUGGCACUUUUGAUAAAGUUUCGGCGGUACAAGAUGGGCAUGCGUGACAUUAGUUUGUUGGUGAGGUAACGGCUCACCAAGGCUACGAUGUCUAGGGGUUCUGAGAGGAUGAUCCCCCACACUGGUACUGAGACACGGACCAGACUCCUACGGGAGGCAGCAGUGAGGAAUAUUGGUCAAUGGGCGCAAGCCUGAACCAGCCAUCCCGCGUGCAGGAUGACGGCCCUAUGGGUUGUAAACUGCUUUUAUUUGCCAAGAAUGUGCACUACGUGUAGUGUUUUGACGGUAGCAAAUGAAUAAGCAUCGGCUAACUCCGUGCCAGCAGCCGCGGUAAUACGGAGGAUGCGAGCGUUAUCCGGAUUCAUUGGGUUUAAAGGGUGCGUAGGCGGUGUUGUAAGUCAGUGGUGAAAUCCUGCCGCUUAACGGUAGAACUGCCAUUGAAACUGCAGCACUUGAGUGCGCUUGAGGUAAGCGGAAUGUGUAGUGUAGCGGUGAAAUGCUUAGAUAUUACACAGAACACCGAUUGCGAAGGCAGCUUACUAAGGCGUAACUGACGCUGAUGCACGAAAGCGUGGGGAGCGAACAGGAUUAGAUACCCUGGUAGUCCACGCCGUAAACGAUGAUAACUCGCUGUUGGCGAUACACAGUCAGCGGCCAAGCGAAAGCAUUAAGUUAUCCACCUGGGGAGUACGAUCGCAAGGUUGAAACUCAAAGGAAUUGACGGGGGCCCGCACAAGCGGAGGAACAUGUGGUUUAAUUCGAUGAUACGCGAGGAACCUUACCUGGGCUUAAAUGUGCUAUGACCGGUUUAGAGAUAGACCUUUCCUUCGGGACAGAGUACAAGGUGCUGCAUGGUUGUCGUCAGCUCGUGCCGUGAGGUGUCGGGUUAAGUCCCAUAACGAGCGCAACCCUUAUCGUUAGUUACCAGCGAGUAAUGUCGGGGACUCUAGCGAGACUGCCACCGUAAGGUGAGAGGAAGGUGGGGAUGACGUCAAAUCAGCACGGCCCUUUGUCCAGGGCUACCACGUGUUACAAUGGAUGGUCAAAGGGCAGCUACCUGGUGACAGGAUGCUAAUCCUAAAGCCAUCUCAGUUCGGAUCGAAGUCUGCAACCCGACUUCGUGAAGCUGGAUUCGCUAGUAAUCGUAUAUCAGCAAUGAUACGGUGAAUACGUUCCCGGGCCUUGUACACACCGCCCGUCAAACCAUGGAAGCUGGGGGUGCCUGAAGUC
This 1364-nucleotide ribosomal RNA is filed under the name uncultured bacterium. RNAcentral describes it as "bacterial SSU rRNA". It matches the Rfam family "Bacterial small subunit ribosomal RNA", at positions 57 to 1428 of the family's 1533-position model. The record is from RNAcentral.